UGUUUUGUGGCUUAGUUUGGUAAAGUGCCGGACUAGCGAUAACGGAGUCAUGGGUUCGAAUCCCAACAGAACGC
Non-coding RNA from Aedes albopictus (Asian tiger mosquito), 74 nucleotides. The record is from Rfam. NCBI's taxonomy places the organism in Eukaryota, Metazoa, Arthropoda, Insecta, Diptera, Culicidae.